RNAcentral lists this ribosomal RNA (253 nucleotides) under uncultured bacterium. Its description in RNAcentral is "partial 16S ribosomal RNA". It matches the Rfam family "Bacterial small subunit ribosomal RNA", at positions 524 to 776 of the family's 1533-position model. The record is from RNAcentral.
UACGAAGGGGGCUAGCGUUGUUCGGAAUUACUGGGCGUAAAGCGCGCGCAGGCGGUCUUUCAAGUCAGUGGUGAAAGCCCGGAGCUCAACUCCGGAAAUGCCAUUGAAACUGUGAGACUUGAGGACGAGAGAGGUGAGUGGAAUUCCCAGUGUAGAGGUGAAAUUCGUAGAUAUUGGGAAGAACACCGGUGGCGAAGGCGGCUCACUGGCUCAUUACUGACGCUCAGGCGCGAUAGCGUGGGGAUCAAACAGG